RNAcentral lists this non-coding RNA (751 nucleotides) under Muda kuroiwae. Lineage: Eukaryota; Metazoa; Arthropoda; Insecta; Hemiptera; Cicadidae. The record is from RNAcentral.
AUAAAGUUUUAUUCUAAUUUAUAAUUUAAAUUUAAGGCUAUUUUACAUGCAAAAUAUUUAAUUAGUUCAGUUUCUUGAGGAAAAUUAUCUGAUGGUCGCAGUACUUAAUAUUAUUAAUUAUUAAAGAUAGAAAUAGUAAUUUUUAAUAGAAGAAACAAAAUUCGUGCCAGCAGUUGCGGUUAUACGAUUUCUUUAAUUUAAAUAUAAAGGCUUCAGUUAUAAUAUAAUAAAUUAUUAAUUAGUUAAUUUUUGGUAAAAUAACAUUUAACUAAAUAUUUUAACUUAUGUCUGAAAAACUUAAUUAUAAACUAGGAUUAGAUACCCUAUUAUUAUAAGUGUAAUUAAUAAGGCUUGAUUAUUAUUAGUUAUGAUCUCUAAAAUCAAAGAUUUUGGCGGUAAUUUAUCUAAUCAGAGGAACCUGUUUUAUAAUCGAUAUUCCACGAUAGAGAUUACUUUUAUUAUACUUGUAUAUCUCUGUCAAGAAUGUUUCAUUAGAAUUAUUUUCAUUUAUUUUAUUUAUUAUAUGUCAGGUCAAGGUGCAGUUUUAUAGAAGUAGAAAUGGGUUACAGUUUAAAUAAUAAUUGGAUUAAUUUUUUCAUUAAAAUAUAUGAAAUAGGAUUUGAAAUUAAAAUAAAUUACAUUAAAUUUAUUGAAAUUAGUUAUAAGUUAUGUACAUAUCGCCCGUCACUCUCAUUUUAAGAUGAGAUAAGUCGUAACAAAGUAGCUGUACCGGAAGGUGUAGCUAGAAUGA